Molecule: ribosomal RNA, 253 nt
Filed under: uncultured bacterium
Lineage: Bacteria
Description: partial 16S ribosomal RNA
Rfam family: Bacterial small subunit ribosomal RNA
Source: RNAcentral
UACGGGGGGAGCAAGCGUUGUUCGGAUUUACUGGGCGGAAAGGGCGCGUAGGCGGCCUUCUAAGUCAGACGUGAAAUCCCUCGGCUCAACCGGGGAACUGCGUCUGAGACUGGAAGGCUUGAAUCCGGGAGAGGGAUGUGGAAUUCCAGGUGUAGCGGUGAAAUGCGUAGAUAUCUGGAGGAACACCGGUGGCGAAGGCGGCAUCCUGGACCGGUAUUGACGCUGAGGCGCGAAAGCCAGGGGAGCAAACGGG